GACGAACGCUGGCGGCGCGCCUAACACAUGCAAGUCGAACGGAGCUGAGAGAAGCUUGCUUUUCUUAGCUUAGUGGCGAACGGGUGAGUAACGCGUGAGUAACCUGCCCUGGAGUGGGGGACAACAGUUGGAAACGACUGCUAAUACCGCAUAAGCCCACGAUCCGGCAUCGGAUUGAGGGAAAAGGAUUUAUUCGCUUCAGGAUGGACUCGCGUCCAAUUAGCUAGUUGGUGAGGUAACGGCCCACCAAGGCGACGAUUGGUAGCCGGACUGAGAGGUUGAACGGCCACAUUGGGACUGAGACACGGCCCAGACUCCUACGGGAGGCAGCAGUGGGGGAUAUUGCACAAUGGGGGAAACCCUGAUGCAGCGACGCCGCGUGGAGGAAGAAGGUUUUCGGAUUGUAAACUCCUGUCGUUAGGGACGAUAAUGACGGUACCUAACAAGAAAGCACCGGCUAACUACGU
Molecule: ribosomal RNA, 467 nt
Filed under: uncultured bacterium
Lineage: Bacteria
Description: partial 16S ribosomal RNA
Rfam family: Bacterial small subunit ribosomal RNA
Source: RNAcentral